GAUGAACGCUGGCGGCGUGCCUAAUACAUGCAAGUCGAGCGAACGGACGAGAAGCUUGCUUCUCUGAUGUUAGCGGCGGACGGGUGAGUAACACGUGGAUAACCUACCUAUAAGACUGGGAUAACUUCGGGAAACCGGAGCUAAUACCGGAUAAUAUUUUGAACCGCAUGGUUCAAAAGUGAAAGACGGUCUUGCUGUCACUUAUAGAUGGAUCCGCGCUGCAUUAGCUAGUUGGUAAGGUAACGGCUUACCAGGGCAACGAUGCAUAGCCGACCUGAGAGGGUGAUCGGCCACACUGGAACUGAGACACGGUCCAGACUCCUACGGGAGGCAGCAGUAGGGAAUCUUCCGCAGUGGGCGAAAGCCUGACGGAGCAACGCCGCGUGAGUGAUGAAGGUCUUCGGAUCGUAAAACUCUGUUAUUAGGGAAGAACAUAUGUGUAAGUAACUGUGCACAUCUUGACGGUACCUAAUCAGAAAGCCACGGCUAACUACGUG
RNAcentral lists this ribosomal RNA (497 nucleotides) under uncultured bacterium. RNAcentral's name for it is "partial 16S ribosomal RNA". It matches the Rfam family "Bacterial small subunit ribosomal RNA", at positions 28 to 507 of the family's 1533-position model. The record is from RNAcentral.